ACCCUUCUGUUGAACACAAGUCACUUUCUUCUGGUUCCACGAGCGCUGUCUUCUCACCAGGUCAUCCUGAAACAAAAAUGGAAACAUUUGGAAAUUCCAUGUUUCACACAGUAACAGUGGACGUUUUCCUAAGGACUGAAAAGUAUCCUACAAGCUACAAGUAGCAUAUGGCUACUUCUUUGGCGUUUCCACAUCUUAUGAUGAGGCUGGCCUUUUGCUGAUCAUGACACCAGAGAAUCAAUACCAAGCAGAGAAGCAGAUGGAAAGUGCCAGGCAGAAUCCUUGAAAAUGCCACGGCGCAUUGAUAAAGGAUCGCUCUGGCUGUCGCUUGAAGAAUGAAGGGAGGGUUGGGACCUGGGGGCCCACGUACGGAGACCACUGAACCAGCUGUUGUAGGAGUCUCGACUAAUGACCCCCGUGGCGUGGCCCAGCGUGGAGGCAGCAUCGGUGGAAGUGAGCAGACAGACUCAUGAGGGCCAGAGGGGAGAAAAGACGAUGGUCAAAGGAAGUUAAAGGGCACUGCAGCAAACGAUAUCUACUUCACAAUCGUGUCCUGACACUAACAAGCUGUAAAUGGCAUUCACCUGCAGACAAAUAAACGGGCGACUCUGGUCACACUG
This is a long non-coding RNA of Felis catus (domestic cat), 620 nucleotides long. RefSeq lists it as uncharacterized. The record is from RefSeq and is a predicted model, not a curated record. NCBI's taxonomy places the organism in Eukaryota, Metazoa, Chordata, Mammalia, Carnivora, Felidae. The transcript has 4 exons.